GUGGGGAAUCUUCCGCAAUGGACGAAAGUCUGACGGAGCGACGCCGCGUGAGUGAAGAAGGCCUUCGGGUCGUAAAGCUCUGUCAUCAGGGACGAACGGCCGGUGGAGUGGAAAGCCACCGGAUUGACGGUACCUGAGAAGGAAGCCACGGCUAACUACGUGCCAGCAGCCGCGGUAAUACGUAGGUGGCAAGCGUUGUCCGGAAUUAUUGGGCGUAAAGCGCGCGCAGGUGGGCUCUUAAGUUCAUUUUUAAAGUUCGGAGCUCAACUCCGUGAUGGGGUGGAAACUGGGAUUCUUGAGUACCGGAGAGGAAAGCGGAAUUCCCCGUGUAGCGGUGAAAUGCGUAGAUAUGGGGAGGAACACCAGUGACGAAGGCGGCUUUCUGGACGGUGUCUGACACUGAGGCGCGAAAGCCAGGGGAGCGAACGGGAUUAGAAACCCGUGUAGUCC
Molecule: ribosomal RNA, 450 nt
Filed under: uncultured bacterium
Lineage: Bacteria
Description: partial 16S ribosomal RNA
Rfam family: Bacterial small subunit ribosomal RNA
Source: RNAcentral